GCCUUCGUGGUGGAAUGCUCACCACACUCAGCUCGUAUUCGAAAGGUCCGUGGUUCGAUUCCCGGCGAGAACA
Molecule: transfer RNA, 73 nt
Filed under: Stegodyphus mimosarum
Lineage: Eukaryota; Metazoa; Arthropoda; Arachnida; Araneae; Eresidae
Rfam family: tRNA
About the family: Transfer RNA (tRNA) molecules are approximately 80 nucleotides in length.
Source: Rfam by way of RNAcentral